GAGUGUUACAGCUCUUUUAGAAUUUGUCUAGCAGGUUUUCUGGCUUUAGCCGGAAAACCCUU
Molecule: small nuclear RNA, 62 nt
Organism: Choloepus hoffmanni (Hoffmann's two-fingered sloth)
Lineage: Eukaryota; Metazoa; Chordata; Mammalia; Pilosa; Megalonychidae
Gene: U7
Rfam family: U7 small nuclear RNA
About the family: Animal histone pre-mRNAs are spliced by a different mechanism than nuclear pre-mRNAs and self-splicing introns.
Source: Ensembl